RNAcentral lists this transfer RNA (73 nucleotides) under Selaginella moellendorffii. It matches the Rfam family "tRNA". Rfam says of the family: Transfer RNA (tRNA) molecules are approximately 80 nucleotides in length. Their secondary structure includes four short double-helical elements and three loops (D, anti-codon, and T loops). Lineage: Eukaryota; Viridiplantae; Streptophyta; Lycopodiopsida; Selaginellales; Selaginellaceae. The record is from Rfam by way of RNAcentral.
GGGGAUGUAGCUGAGAUGGUAGGGCGCUCGCUUCGCAUGCGAGAGGCACCGGGAUCGAUACCCGGCAUCUCCA